This 230-nucleotide ribosomal RNA is filed under the name Salmonella enterica subsp. enterica serovar Muenster. Its description in RNAcentral is "partial 23S ribosomal RNA". It matches the Rfam family "Bacterial large subunit ribosomal RNA", at positions 584 to 816 of the family's 2925-position model. Lineage: Bacteria; Pseudomonadati; Pseudomonadota; Gammaproteobacteria; Enterobacterales; Enterobacteriaceae. The record is from RNAcentral.
CUUGCUACAGUGACUGCGUACCUUUUGUAUAAUGGGUCAGCGACUUAUAUUCUGUAGCAAGGUUAACCGAAUAGGGGAGCCGGAGGGAAACCGAGUCUUAACCGGGCGUUAAGUUGCAGGGUAUAGACCCGAAACCCGGUGAUCUAGCCAUGGGCAGGUUGAAGGUUGGGUAACACUAACUGGAGGACCGAACCGACUAAUGUUGAAAAAUUAGCGGAUGACCUGUGGCU